Molecule: ribosomal RNA, 484 nt
Filed under: uncultured bacterium
Lineage: Bacteria
Description: partial 16S ribosomal RNA
Rfam family: Bacterial small subunit ribosomal RNA
Source: RNAcentral
AUUGAACGCUGGCGGCAGGCCUAACACAUGCAAGUCGAGCGGAUGAAGGGAGCUUGCUCCUGGAUUCAGCGGCGGACGGGUGAGUAAUGCCUAGGAAUCUGCCUGGUAGUGGGGGAUAACGUCCGGAAACGGGCGCUAAUACCGCAUACGUCCUGAGGGAGAAAGUGGGGGAUCUUCGGACCUCACGCUCUCAGAUGAGCCUAGGUCGGAUUAGCUAGUUGGUGGGGUAAAGGCCUACCAGGGCGACGAUCCGUAACUGGUCUGAGAGGAUGAUCAGUCACACUGGAACUGAGACACGGUCCAGACUCCUAAGGGAGGCAGCAGUGGGGAAUAUUGGACAAUGGGCGAAAGCCUGAUCCAGCCAUGCCGCGUGUGUGAAGAAGGUCUUCGGAUUGUAAAGCACUUUAAGUUGGGAGGAAGGGCAGUAAGUUAAUACCUUGCUGUUUUGACGGUACCAACAGAAUAAGCACCGGCUAACUUCGUG